GAGUUUUAAAUAGAAUUAUCUAUGUUUGAUUGCGGUUCAAAAUGUUUAAACUUA
RNAcentral lists this transfer RNA (54 nucleotides) under Allodiplogaster sp. MY-2022. RNAcentral's name for it is "tRNA-Arg". The record is from RNAcentral. Lineage: Eukaryota; Metazoa; Nematoda; Chromadorea; Rhabditida; Diplogasteridae.